AACAUAUUGUGUGUGUGUGUGUGUGUGUGUGUGUGUGUGUGUGUGUGUGUGUGUAUUACACUCACACACACACACACACACACACACACACACACACACACACACACAU
This 109-nucleotide small nucleolar RNA is filed under the name Erpetoichthys calabaricus (reedfish). Its description in RNAcentral is "Small nucleolar RNA SNORA23 (ENSECRG00000015949.1)". Lineage: Eukaryota; Metazoa; Chordata; Cladistia; Polypteriformes; Polypteridae. The record is from RNAcentral.